AACAAUUUUAGACUACUGGAAAUAUUUUUACCUAUCCUUUCCAAAAGCCGGAUGUGGUCCAAAUUGGUUGUUAAAAUAAAAUUGUGAAUAUCGAACCAGUCAUUCACCAUUUGAAUAAAGUCAGAUGUUAUUUUGUAAUAAUUCUCUGCACCUGUUCUAUUAAAAAGUUGAUUAUCACCAACAAAAAGUAUUGCCUUGGCUGUAUUUGCAGAUAAAACUCUUGCUGUCGCUUUUACAUUUUGUCUUUCACUCCCUUUAACAUCUAGUAAAGUCUUUGAUAGUUUCCAUCCAGGUUUCAAUUGUGCUGUUUGAAUGUCCACUAGUUUAUCCAAGGGCUUUCUAUUUAUAACUUGACCAUCAGCAAGUAUGAGAUCAUUAUCUAAUAAAUGGUUUCUUAUAAGCUUAAGCAAAUGUGGUGUAUCUGCAAAACAAAAUACUUUUUCACCUGGAAUACUUGGAUUCUCAAAAUAUGGUUUGGUUGGAGUUAUAUCUAAUUUUUUAUGAAGGCCUCUAUUUUUUGGUCCCAUGUCUGACACAAAAGCAACUACUAAAAACCCAACAUCAUGGAGUUUUUUUAUUGCAUUGUUUAAAAUAGUAACCGACAUAUCACAAUCAAAAUCGAAGAAGAUUGGUUGCUUCCACUGGCUAAAUAAUCCACGUGCACACAUAACUUGCACAUUAUUGUGAGGUCCUAGUAUUCUCUGUUCUUGAGGCUCAUAUUCAAUUCUAUUAUAUUUUCCUUUCAUUACAGAAAAAACAUCAUCAAUAAAACCAGGACGCAAAGUCAUUACUUGUGUUCUUCGACAGAGGGUUGAUAUUGAUGGCAAUGGAAAAUUUAAUUUUUUGGAGAGAUAUCUGUAUGCCUUUGGAUUUACACUUUGAAGGCUGAUUGCACUAGAAAUAUCCUCAGAAGACCACCGAAUUUUCUGGACCCAUAUGAAUUGCUUUCACUUGACCAUGUGAAAAAAAAUUAGAUAAAACAGAAGCUAUGUACUUAGCUCUUGAAUCAGAUUUAUGUUGUACUUCAAUCAAUUCAUUUUCCAGUUUCUUAUUCUCUUCUUUUGCCUUUUGAUUAUCAUUUCUUAAUUGUUUAUUAAUACAUUAUAUUUUCUUUAAUUUUGUCUUAAGCUCUUUGAUUUGUGUUUCAGGAUUAUUACUGUAAAAAUUAAUGAUUUGAUUUAAACUAUUUGUACACUUUGACACAAUAAUUAAUAAGUUACUAUUUACUUGUGAAUUAUAAAUAUAACUAAUUUAAUUAACAUACUUUUUUGGUCUUCCUAUUUUUGGUAAUCCACAUAAACUUUUUCUUAAACGUUUAGUCCGAGGAGUUAAUUGUAUUUCAUCAAUAUUAUAAGGCUCAGGAAAAUUAUUAUUUAUAUUACUAAUUGAAAAUAGUGAAAAAAAUAAAAAACAAUUAACUAAAUUUUUUUUACUUUUUAUUUAAUAUCAGGUGGGGGCUACAGCCCUCCCAAAAUUUUAGCCCUAGUUG
Molecule: long non-coding RNA, 1489 nt
Organism: Acyrthosiphon pisum (pea aphid)
Lineage: Eukaryota; Metazoa; Arthropoda; Insecta; Hemiptera; Aphididae
Exons: 3
Source: RefSeq, a predicted model, not a curated record